GCCCAAUUGGUUGAGCGUCCAACUCUUGAUUUUGGCUCAGGUCAUGAUCUCGUGGUUUGUGAGUUCAAACCCCGCAUUAGGCU
This 83-nucleotide transfer RNA is filed under the name Felis catus (domestic cat). It matches the Rfam family "tRNA". From Rfam's summary of the family: Transfer RNA (tRNA) molecules are approximately 80 nucleotides in length. Their secondary structure includes four short double-helical elements and three loops (D, anti-codon, and T loops). Further hydrogen bonds mediate the characteristic L-shaped molecular structure. tRNAs have two regions of fundamental functional importance: the anti-codon, which is responsible for specific mRNA codon recognition, and the 3' end, to which the tRNAs corresponding amino acid is attached (by aminoacyl-tRNA synthetases). tRNAs cope with the degeneracy of the genetic code in two manners: having more than one tRNA (with a specific anti-codon) for a particular amino acid; and 'wobble' base-pairing, i.e. permitting non-standard base-pairing at the 3rd anti-codon position. Lineage: Eukaryota; Metazoa; Chordata; Mammalia; Carnivora; Felidae. The record is from Rfam by way of RNAcentral. RNAcentral also lists the same sequence under 1 other name.